This 142-nucleotide small RNA is filed under the name Loigolactobacillus rennini. The record is from RNAcentral. RNAcentral also lists the same sequence under 1 other name. Lineage: Bacteria; Bacillati; Bacillota; Bacilli; Lactobacillales; Lactobacillaceae.
UUAACUAAAUUAAACGAUUAUAAAAAGAGAAUACGGUGUGAAUCCGUAGCAGUCCUUAGUCUACUGUAACACGUUAACGUGAAGCCAGAUCGCUUUUUAUCAUCGGUACGACAUUACUUUUAUUCAAGGGAAGUAAUGUUUU